ACUCCUACGGGAGGCAGCAGUGGGGAAUAUUGCACAAUGGGCGCAAGCCUGAUGCAGCCAUGCCGCGUGUAUGAAGAAGGCCUUCGGGUUGUAAAGUACUUUCAGCAGUGAGGAAGGUGGGUAUGUUAAUAGCAUAUUCAUUUGACGUUAGCUGCAGAAGAAGCACCGGCUAACUCCGUGCCAGCAGCCGCGGUAAUACGGAGGGUGCGAGCGUUAAUCGGAAUUACUGGGCGUAAAGCGCAUGCAGGUGGUUUGUUAAGUCAGAUGUGAAAGCCCGGGGCUCAACCUCGGAAUUGCAUUUGAAACUGGCAAACUAGAGUACUGUAGAGGGGGGUAGAAUUUCAGGUGUAGCGGUGAAAUGCGUAGAGAUCUGAAGGAAUACCGGUGGCGAAGGCGGCCCCCUGGACAGAUACUGACACUCAGAUAGCGAAAGCGUGGGGAGCAAACAGGAUUAGAUACCCUCGUAGGCUCUGGC
RNAcentral lists this ribosomal RNA (475 nucleotides) under uncultured bacterium. RNAcentral describes it as "bacterial SSU rRNA". It matches the Rfam family "Bacterial small subunit ribosomal RNA", at positions 335 to 800 of the family's 1533-position model. The record is from RNAcentral.